GGCACAGUCAUUAACGGAGCGUCGCUGUGAGCAUAGGGCUCUGCCAUACCGAAGGUGUCUUUCUAAGACAGUUCUCGGCCUUGUUGAAUGGUUGAAACUCGGGGAAGCGUUCCAACCUCUUUCCUGAAGACGGUCACCGAGAGGACAUUGGCAGUGACUGACGGCGCGCAGGCUGCAGAUCUUCCCAACAGUGGGAGCAUGUGAAAGUCCUGCCAGCAGCCAGCGCAGAUCGUCUGAAGAUGAGGUUGACACCCGCCAGCUCGGGUCGUGUGGCCUCAAUGGUGGUGUUGAUGUCGCUGCUGGCUGUCAGCUUGGGCUGUAGCGAGUCUUCCAUCGCCCGACUCUCGUGCUGCAAAGUUCAACCCAGCUUCGACGGGACUGAGGAAAUCGUCUGUGUCUGUCCUGAUCUAAAAGAGAUGGUGCUGACACCAGACUCCAUCCCGGAAAGCGUCACGUCUGUGAGCAUCUCCAAGCUGUCCAACCUCACCAUCGGUGGCGACUCGUUCUACAAGCUGAACUCACUCAUCGACUUGAAGCUGCAAGACAUCGGGAAUGUCACUGUGGAAAGUAGUGGGCUGAACUUGCCUGAGAAAAAUCAGCUGCAUUAUUUCUCUGCCAGAGAUAUUGGGUUCCUUCGCAUUCACAUUCACGCUUUAAAAGGGACGUGGAGGGACCUUUCAGCGACAACAAUUACAUUCGAGGACAUCAAAAAGCUGGACAUUGCCUCCAGAGGAUUCAGCUAUACCACCAGCCGUGAUGGCCCAACCGUGAUCAUCCGGAAUAUCGCAAACCUUACAUUGGCCUCAGAGGCCCUUGACGCCCGCAUCAGAGAACUUCAGCUAGAAAAGGUUGUCAUGCAAGAAUGCUCCGAAAGAACUUUUGACAACAAGAUCGGCUCCGUUAAGCUGAGCAGCGUGAACAUAUCAGAACUCGAAAAGCGAUGUUUCCACGGAGUAGGAGAACUCGGCGUCAGUUCAACUAGUGGAGUUCACAUCACCUCGAGCUCGCUGGGCACUGUACAUCGAGAGGCGUUUUCUGGAAGCAUGAAAAGCAUUAAGCUACAGGAAAACACCGAGGUUGGAAGUGUGACUGAAAACGGAUUUCAAGUGGAUGUCAAGGAUUUCUGCAUCGAAGAUUCCAAGAUCGGUACCCUAAGCUCUGGAAGUCUAUCGGUCACAUUCAUGGACACGUUUUCUGUGAAGGAAGUAGGCAUCGAACAUCUCCGCAAGGGCGCGUUCAGAGGCGUCAAAGCGACGCCGCAUCGAACCCCUACAGUAAGCCUGGACGCCCUAGUGAUCGAGAAUGCAGAGCCCGGAUCGUUGUCUUUCCAGCGCUGUCUGCACGUGGAGGCCUCUGACCUUGACAUCCAAUCGUCCGACGUGGAGAGAUGUCCCACAGAACAGUGGACUCGCGGGCUAAUGGGGCUUGAUGCCCAGCAGAAGGUGUUUGCUGAUGUGUACAGCUUAUACAGUUGUUUGCACGACAGUAACAGCCCGUGCGUUAAGGAUACUAAACGCUGGCAAACACUGCUUGUCGAGGACAGUUCAUGCGACUACGCAACCGGGAAGGAGGAUGAGAAGAUCGAUAGUAAUGUUCAUGGUCAAGAAAAAGGUGCGAAUGUGGACUGGGACGAUGGAGAGAAAAGUGUUGGGGAUCAACAAGGAUCAUUCAAUAGAAACGUUCAAGAAGAGAACAAAACUGACGCGAGUAAAUCAAAAGGCGCUAAUGAGACUCAAAGAGGCGAUUUUCAAACUGAAGAUGAAAUCAGAAGAGAAGCGGACGCAGCGGUGGAAGACGAAACUGACAUGGAGGAAAAGAAAGGCACCGGAAAGGAGAGUGACACGAGCGGAGGACAGGCGAAUGACGAUCGGACCAGCACUCACGAGCAAGACCCUGAUGCCCGGACGCCAUCAGCAAACAGCCCAUUGUCUGGCCUUUGGCCAGUACUCAUUGUGAUUUCAUUCUGGGUGUUAAUUUUGGGUGGCGCUUGGUGCAGGCGGGGUAGGCCGACGCAAACCAUCUAUCGUCAAACAAAUGCGGACUCUCAGGGUGACUUUUUGAUGGGUGAACGUCCUAGAGAGAACGACGCUGUUGAACAACCAAACCAAUAAGAACAGGCGGCCAUGAGACGAAACACUGAGCCUGUCCUUAGAAGUGGCCGAAGUAGUUCACUGAUUUAUUUGAGACAAUUCGAACAUCAGUUGCCACCACGCGAGCCAAGGUCUCAAAUAGAAUAAUAAGAAAUUGUUCCUGGCCGGUAACCACAGGAUAUCGCUUCUCAGCUUUCGGCAUAUCAACGAGCCCGCCCCCCCCCCCAUUCUAGUCUCUAGAUCCUCCCGACUGAACGCUGCUCUGCCCCCCCCCUGCGUGUGAGAAACGGUGCAGGCAAGCGCAGCUUUCUGUUUCGCUUUCUGUAUGUGUACGAGCAUUUAUGUAAGUUAGCCGCUUCAAGUAGUUAUCUGAUGCUCUUCCCGUGACUUGUCCAGCUUGUCUGUUUAACGUUAAGCAGCUUUAUUUGCAGUUGGCUUCUGAUUUAUAUGUGGAUCGGAGAUAAUUUGUGAUUUGUUGUGCUUGGAGUGAUUGAGGCGCGGCUCAAAGUGUGCGCCUAAUUAACAUCCUUUCCCUUAUUAAGCGAUCGAUGUGGCGUUCAAAAUAGCCGGUGAUGUUUUGGUGAUUACUGAUUGUUGUAGCUGUCCUUGCAUCCAUAUUAAGCUACAUGUAUGUAUGUAGCUAUGUAGUUUAAUAGUGAACAAAUAUGCGUUGUGAUUGAGGGUAUUGUAAUGCUUUAUUAUGUGCGUAUAUAUAUUAUAU
RNA transcript from Amphibalanus amphitrite, 2811 nucleotides. RefSeq lists it as uncharacterized. The transcript has 2 exons. Lineage: Eukaryota; Metazoa; Arthropoda; Thecostraca; Balanomorpha; Balanidae. The record is from RefSeq and is a predicted model, not a curated record.